RNAcentral lists this ribosomal RNA (274 nucleotides) under uncultured bacterium. RNAcentral's name for it is "partial 16S ribosomal RNA". It matches the Rfam family "Bacterial small subunit ribosomal RNA", at positions 523 to 796 of the family's 1533-position model. The record is from RNAcentral.
AUACGGGGGAUGCAAGCGUUAUUCGGAAUCAUUGGGCGUAAAGGGCACGCAGGCGGUUCUGUCAGUCAGAUGUGAAAGCCCGGGGCUUAACCCCGGACGUGCAUUUGAAACAGCAGGACUUGAGUAUGGUAGAGGAAAGCGGAAUUCCUGGUGUAGAGGUGAAAUUCGUAGAUAUCAGGAGGAACACCGGUGGCGAAGGCGGCUUUCUGGACCAAAUCUGACGCUGAGGUGCGAAGGCGUGGGUAGCGAACAGGAUUAGAAACCCCAGUAGUCC